Molecule: transfer RNA, 54 nt
Filed under: Argyroneta aquatica (water spider)
Lineage: Eukaryota; Metazoa; Arthropoda; Arachnida; Araneae; Dictynidae
Description: tRNA-Glu
Source: RNAcentral
GAUAAAGUAGUGAAAUUCACGUCAUUAUUUCAUGAUGAAUAUGUUUAGUCUUCU